RNAcentral lists this ribosomal RNA (253 nucleotides) under uncultured bacterium. RNAcentral's name for it is "partial 16S ribosomal RNA". It matches the Rfam family "Bacterial small subunit ribosomal RNA", at positions 524 to 776 of the family's 1533-position model. The record is from RNAcentral.
UACGUAGGGUGCGAGCGUUGUCCGGAAUUAUUGGGCGUAAAGAGCUCGUAGGCGGGUUGUUAAGUCAGGGGUGAAAUCCCGGAGCUCAACUCCGGAACUGCCUUUGAUACUGGCAAUCUAGAGACUGGAAGAGGUUAGUGGAAUUCCCAGUGUAGAGGUGAAAUUCGUAGAUAUUGGGAAGAACACCAGUGGCGAAGGCGGCUAACUGGUCCAGUACUGACGCUGAGGUGCGAAAGCGUGGGGAGCAAACAGG